UUAUCUCAUGAGAUGAGUGCUCUAAAAAAAAGAGAGAAAUACGAGGAAAUAAAAAGGAGCAAGUGCUCGGAACCUCGAAAGAAAAGAGAAAGCGAGACGAGAGGUAAAAAUGAACAAGUGUCCGACGGUAGAAUUAGGGGUGCAAGAUACCCACCUGAGAGAAAAGAAAAAGAAGAGCAUCUCAUUCUCCUCAUAAAGUUUCAAAAAAGCAAGGAAGGUAUGUAUCCCCUCAAAGAGCAAAGUAGAAUUAGACUUCCAUCACCAUUGUUUUCACCAUUGUUAUCACCAUCAUCACCAU
RNAcentral lists this long non-coding RNA (298 nucleotides) under Sorghum bicolor (sorghum). RNAcentral describes it as "long non-coding RNA (SBIC_LNC006799)". Lineage: Eukaryota; Viridiplantae; Streptophyta; Magnoliopsida; Poales; Poaceae. The record is from RNAcentral.